RNAcentral lists this long non-coding RNA (1009 nucleotides) under Homo sapiens (human). Its description in RNAcentral is "HSALNT0033085". Lineage: Eukaryota; Metazoa; Chordata; Mammalia; Primates; Hominidae. The record is from RNAcentral.
CUACUGCAUAACCCUCUCCUCUAUGCACAAAAAUCUUCCCCUACCCCCACUACACAAAGACACACUCCCUCCCAGAAGUAUGUAAGGACACAGCCAUGCGUGUGAUUUUUUUCUCCUCUUUCUUCUUCCAGUGUCCUGAUGUCAAGGUGAAUGGGGUCAAUAGAGAGAGCAGCUGGUAGGAGCCAGUCUUUAGCUGAUUUCCUCCUCGAGUUGUGGGGGCUGCUGCCAAGUCAUUCGUCUCACCCUGUGUGUCUGUUAUAAUGUUGCAAAAGAAAACAGAAGUUUAUGUCCAUGCUGCAGAUAUAAAGGAUGAAGUUGUAGGGCAGGAAGUCUUAUGUAACUUGGAGCAGCUACUCAAUGGAAAUCACAAACAGAAUGAGUUUCAUCCACAUGUCAAGACACUACUACCAACAGAGCUAUUUCAGGACACCUACCUAAAUAACUAGCUGUCUCUUCCACUUAAAGCAAGAGAUAAUGUCUAAGGACAGAGAAUCUGCUUGGCCUCGCUAAGGGACAUGUCCACUUCUUGGCUGAAUGAGGACUUGACGGUGCACUUUGAUUAACAGCAAUCUUUGUACUACACAAAUGGAGUUGAGGCAACUCCCUCGAAGGGUACUGCUUUUGUCUGAAAUGGGAUGAAUGGGUGUUGUAGUUUUCUCUAAAAACCAAAGCUAUCAUAACCAUGCUUCUUAGACUUUAAUGUGCAUAUGAAUUUUCUGGGUUUCUUAUUAAAUUUCACACUCUGACUCAAUAGGUUGGGUCUGAAGCCAGAUUCUACAUUCCUGGAAAACACCCAGGUGAUGUUGCUGACAGGCUUGUGGCUCACCGUUUGAGUAGUAAGCCUUUAUAAUCGUGAGCACUGGGAAGAUAAUUAGUUUUACAUUUCUUAAUCCAUAUAUAUUUAUCUUUGUUUUAAUUGGGGUAUAAUUACAUAAAUUAAUGAAUAGAUAAAAUGAGUUGAACUUAAGUCCAAAAUUUAACUCGUCUAUAUGCACCCAUGUAAGGAACG